RNAcentral lists this transfer RNA (61 nucleotides) under Leiochrinini sp. 2 ACP-2013. Its description in RNAcentral is "tRNA-Cys". Lineage: Eukaryota; Metazoa; Arthropoda; Insecta; Coleoptera; Tenebrionidae. The record is from RNAcentral.
GUUUGAUAGUCAAUUAUGAUUUUAAAUUGCAAAUUUAAAGGUGACGUAUGUCUCAAACCUA